UGCAGUCGAGCGGAACGAGUUAUCUGAACCUUCGGGGAACGAUAACGGCGUCGAGCGGCGGACGGGUGAGUAAUGCCUAGGAAAUUGCCCUGAUGUGGGGGAUAACCAUUGGAAACGAUGGCUAAUACCGCAUGAUGCCUACGGGCCAAAGAGGGGGACCUUCGGGCCUCUCGCGUCAGGAUAUGCCUAGGUGGGAUUAGCUAGUUGGUGAGGUAAGGGCUCACCAAGGCGACGAUCCCUAGCUGGUCUGAGAGGAUGAUCAGCCACACUGGAACUGAGACACGGUCCAGACUCCUACGGGAGGCAGCAGUGGGGAAUAUUGCACAAUGGGCGCAAGCCUGAUGCAGCCAUGCCGCGUGUGUGAAGAAGGCCUUCGGGUUGUAAAGCACUUUCAGUCGUGAGGAAGGUAGUGUAGUUAAUAGCUGCAUUAUUUGACGUUAGCGACAGAAGAAGCACCGGCUAACUCCGUGCCAGCAGCCGCGGUAAUACGGAGGGUGCGAGCGUUAAUCGGAAUUACUGGGCGUAAAGCGCAUGCAGGUGGUUUGUUAAGUCAGAUGUGAAAGCCCGGGGCUCAACCUCGGAAUAGCAUUUGAAACUGGCAGACUAGAGUACUGUAGAGGGGGGUAGAAUUUCAGGUGUAGCGGUGAAAUGCGUAGAGAUCUGAAGGAAUACCGGUGGCGAAGGCGGCCCCCUGGACAGAUACUGACACUCAGAUGCGAAAGCGUGGGGAGCAAACAGGAUUAGAUACCCUGGUAGUCCACGCCGUAAACGAUGUCUACUUGGAGGUUGUGGCCUUGAGCCGUGGCUUUCGGAGCUAACGCGUUAAGUAGACCGCCUGGGGAGUACGGUCGCAAGAUUAAAACUCAAAUGAAUUGACGGGGGCCCGCACAAGCGGUGGAGCAUGUGGUUUAAUUCGAUGCAACGCGAAGAACCUUACCUACUCUUGACAUCCAGAGAACUUUCCAGAGAUGGAUUGGUGCCUUCGGGAACUCUGAGACAGGUGCUGCAUGGCUGUCGUCAGCUCGUGUUGUGAAAUGUUGGGUUAAGUCCCGCAACGAGCGCAACCCUUAUCCUUGUUUGCCAGCGAGUAAUGUCGGGAACUCCAGGGAAACUGCCGGUGAUAAACCGGAGGAAGGGGGGACGACGUCA
RNAcentral lists this ribosomal RNA (1149 nucleotides) under Vibrio sp. RNAcentral describes it as "bacterial SSU rRNA". It matches the Rfam family "Bacterial small subunit ribosomal RNA", at positions 56 to 1187 of the family's 1533-position model. Lineage: Bacteria; Pseudomonadati; Pseudomonadota; Gammaproteobacteria; Vibrionales; Vibrionaceae. The record is from RNAcentral.